RNAcentral lists this ribosomal RNA (116 nucleotides) under Aspergillus flavus. Lineage: Eukaryota; Fungi; Ascomycota; Eurotiomycetes; Eurotiales; Aspergillaceae. The record is from RNAcentral. RNAcentral also lists the same sequence under 1 other name.
AUACGACCAUAGGGUGUGGAGAACAGGGCUUCCCGUCCGCUCAGCCGUACUUAAGCCACACGCCGGGAGGUUAGUAGUUGGGUGGGUGACCACCAGCGAAUCCCUCCUGUUGUAUG